GAGGAGGCGGCGGCGGUGGCGAACUGGGCGGCAACAGCUGGGACGGCUGCACCUGUACCCCUUGGAGGGCGGACGCACUGGAGCUGGAGAAGCUCCUCGCAGGGAGAAAAUACAACAUGUGUCCACACUGAUAUUCCAAUUUAAAGUCAGGAAUACCAGCUUGCUGACCAUGAAUCCUGGCCCAAACUUUCACAGGCAUCUGCAGGGACCGCACUCUCCAUCCCUUUGAGGCAGGGCAUGGUUAUGGGAUGUACUCUGGCCAGCGCAGCAUGAAGGGAGCUGAGCAUGCCACUUCCAGGUGGCAGCUGUCAGGAGAUGGUGCUGGCUUUCCUGGACAUGCAACAAUAUCAUUGUGCACCCCCAAAUGAAGGCAGCAAGGAAUAGAGCUCACUAACAACCUGAAAUGGAUAUGCUCUAGGAGUAAGGAAGACAGAAAAGGCAACAAACGAAAUCCAAACUUUAUGUUGCUUAAAGCUACUGAGAUUUUUAGGGAUUUUUGUUACUGCAACAUAUUCUAGUCUACUUUGAAUGUUCACAUAUGAGAACUAUAUAAUGAUAUUUCCCUAUUUAAUUUAAUCUCAUCUCUAGUUAUAUUUAAUCUAUGCAAAGAUCAAAUCUGUGAAUAGUUAUAUAGUGAAAUGCCCAUGCUGAUUCUGCCCAUAUCUUUAGCAGGAAUGCCUAAGGAGAGAAAUUUAGACCACCAGUACUAAAAUCAUGACUUUUGGUGAGAGAAAAGGUAGAGCUGAGAAAGGGUGAAGAAGUUAAGAAGUGCAUUUGGUCUGGAAGAAAAGAGUUGGUGCCCAAGGCCCAACUCAGUCAUAUUGCUUACACUUUUGUCUAUGUUUUUCAGAAGAUAGGAAAAAGCAGGAAAACUAUAUCAAUAUAUAAUCGAAUAAAUCCAAUUAUAUUUGGAGCAGAGGACACAUUUUUUAUUAGUACUGACUGCACAGCUUUAGCUGGUACUGGAGGAUCUACAAGGAUUCAUGCUCGCCUAGGUCUUCCCUCUCAGGUUGGUCUUGGAUCACUGCUUGCAGGACUCACUGGGUUAUGUUCAAUAUGCAUUCAAACUUAUUUCCCCAAUGUUUCAUGUAGAUGGUGUAAAAAAUACUUUCUUGAAUAUAUCAGUUGGUUCAAGUGAACUCAGACUGUGCACUAAAGGUAUUCUAAGAAGAAACAAAAAGUAAGAUAAAUUGAUCAAUAGCUUAUGAGUAUGUGUAUAUGGUGAGCACACAUUUAUCCACACAAAAACACAUAAUUAAAGUAUCCCCAUAAUAAAAAUAUUAAGCUUGUCUUAUGAUUAAAGAGAAUGAAAUGGAAGAAAAUCAAUGACAUUUCUAAGUUUCUAUAUCAAGUCCCCAGUCUUGGAAAAUGUGAGUUCAGAAAUCAUAAUAGUUUACUAAAUUCUGACACUGAUGAAAAGCACUAUAUACCUUACUUUAUCAACAUUUGUUGUUUUAAGCAGCUAUUAUCUUAUAUCCUAUGUUUUAAUGAUACUUACAAUGCUAAACAACUUCUGAGACUUUAUAAUACAUGUUCAUUGCUCCUUAUGAAACAGUAUAUCCAAUAUGAAGAGACAGUUCUCCAGAGAAGAAAUUCAGAUGGCCAACAGACACAUGAAAAGAUGCUCCACAUCAUUAAUAAUCAGGGAAAUGCAAAUUAAAACCACAAUGAGAUAUCACCUCACACCAGUAAGGAUGGCUAGCAUCGAAAAGACUAAGAACCACAAAUGCUGGCGAGGAUGCGGAGAAAGGGGAACCCUCCUACACUGCUGGUGGGCAUGUAAGCUAGUUCAACCAUUGUGGAAAGCUAUAUGGAGGUUCCUCAAAAAACUGAAAAUAGAAAUACCAUUUGACCUGGGAAUCCCACUCCUUGGAAUUUACCCAAAGAAUACAAGUUCUCACAUUCAAAAAGACAUACGCACCCCUAUUUUUAUUGCAGCACUUUUUACAACAGCCAAGAUAUGGAAGCAACCUAAGUGUCCGUCAGUAGAUGAAUGGAUAAAGAAGAGGUGGUGCAUAUACACAAUGGAAUACUAUUCAGCAAUAAGAAAGAAACAAAUCUUACCAUUUGCAACAACAUGGAUGGAGCUGGAGGAUAUUAUGCUCAGUAAAAUAAGUCAGGUGGAGAAAGACAAGUGCCAAAUGAUUUCCCUCAUUUGUGGAGAUAACAACCAAGCAAGACUGAAAGAACAAAAUAGCAGCAGACUCAGAGACUCAUAGAAGGAACUAGUGGUUACCAAAG
This is a long non-coding RNA of Manis pentadactyla (Chinese pangolin), 2241 nucleotides long. RefSeq lists it as uncharacterized. The record is from RefSeq and is a predicted model, not a curated record. Lineage: Eukaryota; Metazoa; Chordata; Mammalia; Pholidota; Manidae. The transcript has 4 exons.